GUUGGCCGCGUCUUCUAGUCCUGACCCCUUCUCUGCUCAUCGUUCUCGUGUGCCUAGGCAUGUCCAACAGCUCCCUCAUGCUCGUGCGGUCACCUCCCUGCCCCUGCCCCAUCCUAUCAUGAUGUCGUUAGGUCGCCGUCGAGCGCGCUCGUGAUCUGCUACCCCUGUCGUCACCAUGUACGCUUGCCUGUGCUCUCCCGAGUCUUCUCGAGCUCGCUCGAGUUCUCCUACUCCCCCGUGAAGCCUCUGGACAUGCCUCCCCUCCCUCCCCGUGGCUCUGCUCGCGCCAGCGCGACGGCACACGCAUCACCACGGCUGAGCUCACCCCUGGCUCAGCUGAGCUAUAAAUAGGUCACCCCGCACUUCUUCGAGCUCCCCAGCAGCGUCCUCAUCCUCCCAGAACCCCGCCCAACCACUCCACCGAGCUCGAGGAGCCCCUGUUCCCCUCCAUUGCCACCAUGGCCGCCAGCAUCCUCCUCCUAAAUCCGCUCAACGCAGAGCUUCUCCCUCCACUAAACCACCACCAGAGGCCUCCACAACCACCCCGGAGCCAGCCCUGCACCUCUCCUACUCCUCCAAUGGCCUCUGCUCGCGACUCCUCCGGUGCCCGACGCCUUCCUCCGCCACGGCCGAAGCCCUCCUUGCUCCAGGGCUCUCCGGUGGGCGAGUUCCCUCCAUGCGGGUGCGGCCCUCUCCGCUGAGCGCUCCGGUGGUCCGAGCUCCACCGGAGCCGGCCGGGUGAGCGCCGGCAACCGCAGCCUCCCUCUGCUCCAUGGGCGAUCGAGAUGAAGACGACGACACCCCGCCCAGCUGGCCAGGCGGGCCCCGCCUCCCCCCUCGGCCCCACUUGUCGGCCUUUGGUUGUUGACCAGUAUGGGCCCAGGUGCAUAAGUGGAAGCGUACUCUGUCAGAUCCGUCUCCCCCUCUCAAAAGCGCACUUCGGUGUUAUUUAGGCAGGAAUGUAUUUUCCACCCCGGAAAGCGUAUUUCCUUUGUACUACGGCUGAAAGUGUGUUUUCCUUUGCACAAAGCGUGUUUUGACUGAAUAUGUUUUCAGUUUUUCCAGACAGGGACCUGUUGGUGAAGUUUCUUUUACAGAUUGGUCCCUAGACUUCAAACGUCUAUAUCUCCACGACCGUAGCUCCGAAUCAGCCCCUCCGAGAGAGAACUGUUUCCGGCAAAUCUUUCCGCGAUCCUUGCGCACUUCUUCCCGUGGCUCAACUCAGCGACAUCCAUGACCGACACAAGAGGAGGGGGCUUGAAGUCCGGUGUUUGCUCCGUAGUGAAGCAUCAGUGACUAGAUUAUGCAUACACCGUGCAACCUACGGGCUCUUUUGCUAUCACUAUAUAAAGGGUCUCCAUGCUCCGUUUGCAGGUCAUGCCGUGUUUGCUUGACUGUCGAGGAUCCCGAGUUUGUGAGCUAGGAUAAGCGUUCCAGCCAGAGCCCCUGCGGAGUGAUAUCCAUCGCUUUCGUCGUCAUUCCGCUGCUAGAAGUUAUUCCGCUGCUAAGAGUUGUUCUACUGCUAGCAUAGAGCAACCUGAGCAGGCAUAGUGUCGCCAUGCGGACGUAAUUUGUUGUGAUAUCGGAACCCUUGUAUCUGUAUCAUUUGUAAUGAAAAGUUGAUUUGUUCCAUGCCAAGCAGUGCCGUA
Molecule: long non-coding RNA, 1649 nt
Organism: Triticum dicoccoides
Lineage: Eukaryota; Viridiplantae; Streptophyta; Magnoliopsida; Poales; Poaceae
Exons: 4
Source: RefSeq, a predicted model, not a curated record